Molecule: small RNA, 988 nt
Filed under: Histoplasma capsulatum G186AR
Lineage: Eukaryota; Fungi; Ascomycota; Eurotiomycetes; Onygenales; Ajellomycetaceae
Description: hypothetical RNA
Source: RNAcentral
UUCCUAUUUCACGGUGCUCAUGAUUGACUCCUUCAAAAAUCUUUCAACAUGUUUUCGUUGUAGAGGUGUUUGUCCAUUGUCCAAGUUCACAUUUGUCAGCAAGACAACUCGAACCGGCCCGUGAACGUCAUGGAAGGAUCCUAGCUAUUAUUAUUCCUGUGGGAUUUCCAUAGAGACGUUCGAAAGGCAGACAUCUCUUUCGCGAGAAUCCAUGCAAAUAUCUGCAACUCACUCCGACGAUUUAAACGCAACAUCGCCUGUGUAGGUAACAUACAAGCAGCCCGAACGCAGGGGCAGAAAAUUGUGUCUUGACUGUUCCUGAUCCCUAGUAACACCAGGUCCUGUAUCAUUGCUUCAUUAUGUUACCCAGCCAGCCAGCUCUAGUACCCACCAUUGGAUCUCGAGUCCCAAAAUACCCCACACCAAUACAGUAACUCAAUCCAUUGGGUUCAUGGACACGUGCCAUCCCCAAGCACCACCAACCGUGAACCUCAGGCAGAUAACCUGUGCCUAUAUUGCAUGGGAUACCUAAUUCCAUGUAGUCGACAGCACUCUCUCUAAUGAAGAACACAUAAGUUGUUUUCCUUUAAGGUACGGUGAACAAGGACGCAAACAGUUGGAAAUAGAAGGAAUUUUUAGAAUCUAGAACCAGCGGGCCUCUCUACCAUUCCUUGAGCGGAUGCUAGGUAGGUAGACUGUUAGCCCUCUUGCAAUCAUAAAAACAUGACCACCAACACCGCGUGUGUGCACGCGACAGGCACCCUUGCCACUACGCUGUGACACCUACCUUGUUGGCUGAAGAGAGUCCGUUUCAGUUUAGUGGCACAGGUACAAGGUAACAAGCGGUACGGGAUACAGACAAGACCCAUGUGUGAGGGAGGACGGAGAUUGGGAAGUUUGCGGGAGUUUUUUUUUUUUUUUUUUUUUUUUUUCCAUUUGUUUGUAACAUGACAUGACUACCAUUAUCCCCCUAUUUAUGUAUUGCGGC